GUGGGGAAUUUUGGACAAUGGGGGCAACCCUGAUCCAGCCAUGCCGCGUGCGGGAAGAAGGCCUUCGGGUUGUAAACCGCUUUUGUCAGGGAAGAAAUCCUUUGGGUUAAUACCUCGGAGGGAUGACGGUACCUGAAGAAUAAGCACCGGCUAACUACGUGCCAGCAGCCGCGGUAAUACGUAGGGUGCGAGCGUUAAUCGGCAUUACUGGGCGUAAAGCGUGCGCAGGCGGUUUUGUAAGAUCGAUGUGAAAUCCCCGGGCUCAACCUGGGAGAUGCAGUGGGGACUGCAAGGCUGGAGUGCGGCAGAGGGGGAUGGAAUUCCGCGUGUAGCAGUGAAAUGCGUAGAUAUGCGGAGGAACACCGAUGGCGAAGGCAAUCCCCUGGGCCUGCACUGACGCUCAUGCACGAAAGCGUGGGGAGCAAACAGGAUUAGAAACCCUGGUAGUCC
This 450-nucleotide ribosomal RNA is filed under the name uncultured bacterium. RNAcentral describes it as "partial 16S ribosomal RNA". It matches the Rfam family "Bacterial small subunit ribosomal RNA", at positions 354 to 796 of the family's 1533-position model. The record is from RNAcentral.